RNAcentral lists this ribosomal RNA (1685 nucleotides) under Escherichia coli. Its description in RNAcentral is "partial 23S ribosomal RNA". It matches the Rfam family "Bacterial large subunit ribosomal RNA", at positions 354 to 2027 of the family's 2925-position model. Lineage: Bacteria; Pseudomonadati; Pseudomonadota; Gammaproteobacteria; Enterobacterales; Enterobacteriaceae. The record is from RNAcentral.
GCGAUACAGGGUGACAGCCCCGUACACAAAAAUGCACAUGCUGUGAGCUCGAUGAGUAGGGCGGGACACGUGGUAUCCUGUCUGAAUAUGGGGGGACCAUCCUCCAAGGCUAAAUACUCCUGACUGACCGAUAGUGAACCAGUACCGUGAGGGAAAGGCGAAAAGAACCCCGGCGAGGGGAGUGAAAAAGAACCUGAAACCGUGUACGUACAAGCAGUGGGAGCCUCUUAAUGGGGUGACUGCGUACCUUUUGUAUAAUGGGUCAGCGACUUAUAUUCUGUAGCAAGGUUAACCGAAUAGGGGAGCCGAAGGGAAACCGAGUCUUAACUGGGCGUUAAGUUGCAGGGUAUAGACCCGAAACCCGGUGAUCUAGCCAUGGGCAGGUUGAAGGUUGGGUAACACUAACUGGAGGACCGAACCGACUAAUGUUGAAAAAUUAGCGGAUGACUUGUGGCUGGGGGUGAAAGGCCAAUCAAACCGGGAGAUAGCUGGUUCUCCCCGAAAGCUAUUUAGGUAGCGCCUCGUGAAUUCAUCUCCGGGGGUAGAGCACUGUUUCGGCAAGGGGGUCAUCCCGACUUACCAACCCGAUGCAAACUGCGAAUACCGGAGAAUGUUAUCACGGGAGACACACGGCGGGUGCUAACGUCCGUCGUGAAGAGGGAAACAACCCAGACCGCCAGCUAAGGUCCCAAAGUCAUGGUUAAGUGGGAAACGAUGUGGGAAGGCCCAGACAGCCAGGAUGUUGGCUUAGAAGCAGCCAUCAUUUAAAGAAAGCGUAAUAGCUCACUGGUCGAGUCGGCCUGCGCGGAAGAUGUAACGGGGCUAAACCAUGCACCGAAGCUGCGGCAGCGACACUAUGUGUUGUUGGGUAGGGGAGCGUUCUGUAAGCCUGUGAAGGUGUGCUGUGAGGCAUGCUGGAGGUAUCAGAAGUGCGAAUGCUGACAUAAGUAACGAUAAAGCGGGUGAAAAGCCCGCUCGCCGGAAGACCAAGGGUUCCUGUCCAACGUUAAUCGGGGCAGGGUGAGUCGACCCCUAAGGCGAGGCCGAAAGGCGUAGUCGAUGGGAAACAGGUUAAUAUUCCUGUACUUGGUGUUACUGCGAAGGGGGGACGGAGAAGGCUAUGUUGGCCGGGCGACGGUUGUCCCGGUUUAAGCGUGUAGGCUGGUUUUCCAGGCAAAUCCGGAAAACCAAGGCUGAGGCGUGAUGACGAGGCACUACGGUGCUGAAGCGACAAAUGCCCUGCUUCCAGGAAAAGCCUCUAAGCAUCAGGUAACAUCAAAUCGUACCCCAAACCGACACAGGUGGUCAGGUAGAGAAUACCAAGGCGCUUGAGAGAACUCGGGUGAAGGAACUAGGCAAAAUGGUGCCGUAACUUCGGGAGAAGGCACGCUGAUAUGUAGGUGAAGCGACUUGCUCGUGGAGCUGAAAUCAGUCGAAGAUACCAGCUGGCUGCAACUGUUUAUUAAAAACACAGCACUGUGCAAACACGAAAGUGGACGUAUACGGUGUGACGCCUGCCCGGUGCCGGAAGGUUAAUUGAUGGGGUUAGCGGUAACGCGAAGCUCUUGAUCGAAGCCCCGGUAAACGGCGGCCGUAACUAUAACGGUCCUAAGGUAGCGAAAUUCCUUGUCGGGUAAGUUCCGACCUGCACGAAUGGCGUAAUGAUGGCCAGGCUGUCUCCACCC